GGGUCGGCUCGCCUAUUAGGGUGGGCAGCGCUCUGUAAAAGCGUCGUUUUUAUGCGUUGCAGGUGCGAAUCCUGCCCGACCCU
This 83-nucleotide transfer RNA is filed under the name Symploca sp. SIO2E6. RNAcentral's name for it is "tRNA-Tyr". It matches the Rfam family "tRNA". Rfam says of the family: Transfer RNA (tRNA) molecules are approximately 80 nucleotides in length. Lineage: Bacteria; Bacillati; Cyanobacteriota; Cyanophyceae; Coleofasciculales; Coleofasciculaceae. The record is from RNAcentral.